Molecule: non-coding RNA, 31 nt
Filed under: Mus musculus (house mouse)
Lineage: Eukaryota; Metazoa; Chordata; Mammalia; Rodentia; Muridae
Source: RNAcentral
UCCAAAUGUGGAGCCAACUGUAUUUAUUCCU